RNAcentral lists this long non-coding RNA (298 nucleotides) under Homo sapiens (human). RNAcentral's name for it is "HSALNT0293541". The record is from RNAcentral. Lineage: Eukaryota; Metazoa; Chordata; Mammalia; Primates; Hominidae.
UGUGGACAAGACAGAAAUGGCUCUCUAGGGGACCUAGAGAGCCUAAAGGGCUUCUCCUGCUGCUUCCUCUACCUCUGUAUUUAGCUUGACUCUCUAAAUUAACUCAGCUCCAGGCGCAUGUCUGAGAUGAUAGAAGCUAAAUCCUUCCUCUCCUUCAUCUACUUUGUCCUCAGAGUCACUGGAGGGCUCCCCCUCUAAAAGGAUUUUGAGACCUAAGGGCUUUAAGACUUUUGCUUUCCAGCCCAGCCACCAGCCUGUUGUGCUGCUACUUACUCAACAAAAGUCUCAUGGAGAUAAU